CCUACGGGAGGCUGCAGUAAGGAAUAUUGGACAAUGCCCGCAAGGGUGAUCCAGCCAUGCCGCGUGCAGGAAGACGGCCCUAUGGGUUGUAAACUGCUUUUGUACGGGAGAAAACCCCUCUUCGUGAAGAGGGCUGAUAGUACCGUAAGAAUAAGCAUCGGCUAACUUCGUGCCAGCAGCCGCGGUAAGACGAAGGAUGCAAGCGUUAUCCGGAUUCAUUGGGUUUAAAGGGAGCGUAGGUGGCCUUGUAAGUCAGUGGUGAAAUCCUGUAGCUUAACUAUAGAAUUGCCAUUGAUACUGCAGGGCUUGAGUACAGUUGCCGUUGGCGGAAUAUGACAUGUAGUGGUGAAAUACAUAGAUAUGUCAUAGAACACCGAUUGCGAAGGCAGCUGACGAAACUGUAACUGACACUGAGGCUCGAAAGUGUGGGGAUCAAACAG
RNAcentral lists this ribosomal RNA (440 nucleotides) under uncultured bacterium. RNAcentral describes it as "bacterial SSU rRNA". It matches the Rfam family "Bacterial small subunit ribosomal RNA", at positions 338 to 775 of the family's 1533-position model. The record is from RNAcentral.